AGCUUUGUGCAGUGGCAGUAUCGUAGCCAAUGAGGUUUAUCUGAGGCGCGAUUACUGCUAACUGAAAACUUUUCCCAAUACCCCGCCAUGACGACUUGAAAUAUAGUCGGCAUUGGCAAUUUUUGACAGUCUCUACGGCGA
This 141-nucleotide small nuclear RNA is filed under the name Saimiri boliviensis boliviensis (Bolivian squirrel monkey). RNAcentral describes it as "U4 spliceosomal RNA (ENSSBOG00000000220.1)". It matches the Rfam family "U4 spliceosomal RNA". Rfam says of the family: U4 small nuclear RNA (U4 snRNA) is a component of the major U2-dependent spliceosome. The structure of U4 snRNA from yeast and human has been reported. Lineage: Eukaryota; Metazoa; Chordata; Mammalia; Primates; Cebidae. The record is from Rfam by way of RNAcentral.